CUUGAACCUGGGAGGUGGAGGUUGCACUGAGCCGAGAUCGCACCACUGCACUCCAGCCUGGGCUACAGAGCGAGACCCUGUCUCAAAAAAGUUAAUGGAGUUUUCUAAGAGCCACAUUUUAAAAGGCAUGAGAAAAGAUGAAAUUAAUAGUAUAUUUUAUUUAACCCAAUGUAUUCAAAAUAUUCCAAUAUUCCAUCAAUACAAAAAUUAUAAUGAGGUAUUUUAGUGGGGUUUUUUGGUAUUAAAACCUUCUAAAUUUGGUAUGUAGCUUAGUCUUAGAGCACAUCUCAAUUCAGACUAGCCAUAUUUCAUGUAUUAAGUAGCUACACAGGCCUAGUGGCUACUUUAUCAGAUACCCCAGCCGUAUCUAAUGAAUUGUGUGUGGUCAUGUGCAUAUGUGUAUUUUUAUUCUGUUUUCUUUGAUGAAGAACAUGAAAAAAACUUACUCUUUGAUUUUUCUGUAACUAUGUUAAAAAUAAGAAAUAAAAAUUUGUCACUAAAGCAUAUUUAGAACACUACUGCAGAAGGUGAGGAAAAUAUCAAGGAAACCACAUUUUAUCUCCUAAAAUAGGAGUAUCCUUGACUACUCUAUAGAUAUAUGAAGGAAUCCCAGUUCUAAAUUGUUGGGGAGCACUACCCCUAGGAGGAAAAGCUCUUCACAAAGAGUUGGAAACUCAACUAUUGGAACAAUGUACUGUUGAUACAAGUGCUGCCAAAGAACAGAGCCUUCCCUCAGUGAUGGGUUCAGUUCCGGAAGGUGUCUUAGAGGACAUUAAAGUGCGUACUUGCUUUGUAAGUGAUCUGAAGCGAGGACUAAAAAUCCAAGCAGCAAAAUUUAAUAUUGAUGGGAAUAAUGAGCGUCCCUCCCCACCCCCAAAUGUUGACUAUCCAUUAGAUGGAGAGAAGAUUUUACAUGUCCUUGGAUCAAUCAGAGAUUCAGUUGUGGAAAUUCUUUUUGAACAAGAUAAUGAAGAGCAAUCAGUUGCCACUUUAAUAUUGGAUUCCCUUAUACAGUGUCCGAUAGACACCAGGAAGCAACUAGCAGAGAAUUUGGUAGUCAUAGGUGGCACUUCUAUGUUGCCAGGAUUUCUCCACAGAUUGCUUGCAGAAAUAAGGUAUUUGGUAGAAAAACCAAAAUAUAAAAAAGCACUUGGCACUAAGACAUUUCGAAUUCAUACCCCACCUGCAAAAGCUAAUUGUGUGGCCUGGUUGGGAGGGGCUAUUUUUGGAGCAUUACAAGAUAUACUUGGGAGCCGUUCUGUUUCAAAGGAAUAUUAUAAUCAGACGGGCCGUAUACCUGAUUGGUGUUCUCUCAAUAACCCACCUUUGGAAAUGAUGUUUGAUGUCGGGAAAACUCAACCACCUCUGAUGAAGAGAGCGUUUUCCACUGAGAAAUAGAAGUUUGAUUAAAAAUCAACCUUGCUUCAUAUCAAAUAUUUAACCAAUUAUAAGCAAAUUGUACAAAGUAUGUAGGAUGUUUUGUUAUAGGGGACUAUAGUGGAAGUGAAAGCUUUCUGUGUUUACUCUUUGCAUUAAUAUAUAAUUCUUUUGACUUUGUUUCUCUUGUGUAGUGGUAAAAUG
This 1581-nucleotide small RNA is filed under the name Pongo abelii (Sumatran orangutan). RNAcentral's name for it is "retained intron". Lineage: Eukaryota; Metazoa; Chordata; Mammalia; Primates; Hominidae. The record is from RNAcentral.